Long non-coding RNA from Cyanistes caeruleus (blue tit), 130 nucleotides. RefSeq lists it as uncharacterized. Lineage: Eukaryota; Metazoa; Chordata; Aves; Passeriformes; Paridae. The record is from RefSeq and is a predicted model, not a curated record.
CAGCCAGUUGUUUCACUCUACAGUGCCAAAACAAAGCUUGGAUUGUGGUCAGAGUAAAGACUCAGACCUGGAUACGUUCUCAGACCAGAGACUGUGAAAAUUCCAAAAGCCUUUCAGCAGUUUUAAAAAA